CUUUUGCUUCUGCUCUCUUCACGCACGUUCUCUACUUUCCUUCUCUUAAAAAUAUUUCUUGAUUUUUCUUUGACCUUGCGGUGGUUUGGAGGUGGAAUCUACGGGUCGAAGUAGUAAAGAAGGGGCUGAAGGGACCCAACGUGCUGGUCAACUUCGAGAAGUUGAGAAAUGCUGCUUUAAAAUUCACGAGGAAUGUGGGAAAAAAUUUGUGAGUCUGCGAAUAUGAAUAGACCCUUCAUAGCGUUGAAGGAACUAGACAUGGGAUGAUCAUUUCUCAUAUUAUUGAAAAGUUUGAAUGAUUAAUUAUGGUUCUUGAUCAAAGAGUUAGGGUUUAUGGAAUUGAGCCCAGUUGAUGUUUAUACAAAAGAUGGCUUUGUUGUUACUCUAUUUUUUUAUACCGCCCGUGUCAACAAUGAUUAUGGUACUUUUGAAAUUUUUUGUAACUUAUUUAUCAUUUUUUGCUGAUUAAAUUAGAAGUAAAUAUUUUGAGUUUUGGAUUCUGUUAAUCUUAUUCUACUGAAGAACAAAGCUUAAGGCAAUUCCUGUUUGUGUCGAUUAGAUGAAGUGUAAAUUAAG
This 576-nucleotide long non-coding RNA is filed under the name Olea europaea subsp. europaea. Lineage: Eukaryota; Viridiplantae; Streptophyta; Magnoliopsida; Lamiales; Oleaceae. The record is from RNAcentral.